CACAUACUCCUAAAAAUUCUAACAGAUAUAAAUGGAACACCUAGCCAUGACAAGUCAAUUUUAAAAUUGUAACUUAUAUAUAAGGGUGGUGGUCUGUAAUAUCAUUAUCGUAUACACAGCGCCAACAGAUUCUGUAUCGCUUUACAAUAUUAUAAGAGGGGGGAUUUAACUAUAAGUAGGAGAAUUGCAAGAAAACUUACAGGAACGAUAAGUUGAAGAGGACCCUGCUCAAACAUUAUUAUUAUCACCAUUUAUAUAGCGCCAACAGAUUCUGUAUCGCUUUACAAUAUUAUAAGAGGGGGGAUCCAAAUAUAAAUAGGACACUUAAAAGAAAACUUCCAGGAACGAUAGGUGGAAGAGGACCCUGCUCAAACGAGCUUACAUUCUAUUGGACAUAAAUAUAAAUUAUACAAUAUAAAAUAUAUAUUAUACACACACACACACCACAAAAUAAUGCAUCCUGUUCGUAUGAAAUGAAGUGCAUGAUACAGUAUUGUACUAAAAUGCCCAAAAAUUCGUUUUUUUUUUGUUUUUUUUUUAUUGGAGGUGAGAAUGGAAGCUAUGACUGCAUUAAUAUAAAUUAUUGCCCCCA
This is a non-coding RNA of Pelobates cultripes (western spadefoot toad), 592 nucleotides long. Lineage: Eukaryota; Metazoa; Chordata; Amphibia; Anura; Pelobatidae. The record is from the annotation of a GenBank genome assembly.